GGCAGUGCGAGUGCACUUACUGCCACCAAACCGGACGCUUAAAAAUGGUCACAAUGAUAAAUUUCAGGUUGUGUAUAUUUCAUCACGAUAAAAAACAGCCAAUAAAAAGCCGGUAAAAACAAAGAAAAAAGAGACUAAACAAAGUUAAAUAUAUAAAGGAAGCAGUCAAGUGAUCCAGCAGUAGUCCCUCCUGGAAGAGGUCAUCGGCUUGCCUCGAGCUUUUCGGCCCUUCUCUUUUAGGGUUGCCAGAGAGAAGGUGGCUGUCUGCAACCUGAAGAGAGCUCUCUCACAGAAGCACAUUGACCUUGGACUUCCCAGCCUCCAGAACUAUCAAUGGAGAAACACAUUGUGGAAUAUUAGUCACAGAAGGGACUGAAGACGGACACAUGCUACCACGCGGCUGAACCUCAGAAACGUCAUGCUGUGGGAAGGAGCCAGACACAGGCCACAUGUCGCACGGCUCCAUCCAUGCGAAAUUUCCACAAGAGGCAAAUGCGUGGGGACAGAAGGCAGGUCGCGGUUUCCAGGGGCUGAGGGGUGGAGGAGAAUGGGAAGUGGCUGACUAAUGGAUACAGGCUUUGUUACUUCGUUUUGGGUGAUGAAACUGUUUUGGAACUACAUAGA
Molecule: long non-coding RNA, 624 nt
Organism: Lemur catta (Ring-tailed lemur)
Lineage: Eukaryota; Metazoa; Chordata; Mammalia; Primates; Lemuridae
Exons: 3
Source: RefSeq, a predicted model, not a curated record